UUAAGCGACUAAGCGUACACGGUGGAUGCCCUGGCAGUCAGAGGCGAUGAAGGACGUGCUAAUCUGCGAUAAGCGUCGGUAAGGUGAUAUGAACCGUUAUAACCGGCGAUUUCCGAAUGGGGAAACCCAGUGUGUUUCGACACACUAUCAUUAACUGAAUCCAUAGGUUAAUGAGGCGAACCGGGGGAACUGAAACAUCUAAGUACCCCGAGGAAAAGAAAUCAACCGAGAUUCCCCCAGUAGCGGCGAGCGAACGGGGAGCAGCCCAGAGCCUGAAUCAGUGUGUGUGUUAGUGGAAGCGUCUGGAAAGGCGCGCGAUACAGGGUGACAGCCCCGUACACAAAAAUGCACAUAUUGUGAGCUCGAUGAGUAGGGCGGGACACGUGGUAUCCUGUCUGAAUAUGGGGGGACCAUCCUCCAAGGCUAAAUACUCCUGACUGACCGAUAGUGAACCAGUACCGUGAGGGAAAGGCGAAAAGAACCCCGGCGAGGGGAGUGAAAAAGAACCUGAAACCGUGUACGUACAAGCAGUGGGAGCCUCUUUUAUGGGGUGACUGCGUACCUUUUGUAUAAUGGGUCAGCGACUUAUAUUCUGUAGCAAGGUUAACCGAAUAGGGGAGCCGAAGGGAAACCGAGUCUUAACUGGGCGUUAAGUUGCAGGGUAUAGACCCGAAACCCGGUGAUCUAGCCAUGGGCAGGUUGAAGGUUGGGUAACACUAACUGGAGGACCGAACCGACUAAUGUUGAAAAAUUAGCGGAUGACUUGUGGCUGGGGGUGAAAGGCCAAUCAAACCGGGAGAUAGCUGGUUCUCCCCGAAAGCUAUUUAGGUAGCGCCUCGUGAAUUCAUCUCCGGGGGUAGAGCACUGUUUCGGCAAGGGGGUCAUCCCGACUUACCAACCCGAUGCAAACUGCGAAUACCGGAGAAUGUUAUCACGGGAGACACACGGCGGGUGCUAACGUCCGUCGUGAAGAGGGAAACAACCCAGACCGCCAGCUAAGGUCCCAAAGUCAUGGUUAAGUGGGAAACGAUGUGGGAAGGCCCAGACAGCCAGGAUGUUGGCUUAGAAGCAGCCAUCAUUUAAAGAAAGCGUAAUAGCUCACUGGUCGAGUCGGCCUGCGCGGAAGAUGUAACGGGGCUAAACCAUGCACCGAAGCUGCGGCAGCGACACUAUGUGUUGUUGGGUAGGGGAGCGUUCUGUAAGCCUGUGAAGGUGUACUGUGAGGUAUGCUGGAGGUAUCAGAAGUGCGAAUGCUGACAUAAGUAACGAUAAAGCGGGUGAAAAGCCCGCUCGCCGGAAGACCAAGGGUUCCUGUCCAACGUUAAUCGGGGCAGGGUGAGUCGACCCCUAAGGCGAGGCCGAAAGGCGUAGUCGAUGGGAAACAGGUUAAUAUUCCUGUACUUGGUGUUACUGCGAAGGGGGGACGGAGAAGGCUAUGUUGGCCGGGCGACGGUUGUCCCGGUUUAAGCGUGUAGGCUGGUUUUCCAGGCAAAUCCGGAAAAUCAAGGCUGAGGCGUGAUGACGAGGCACUACGGUGCUGAAGCAACAAAUGCCCUGCUUCCAGGAAAAGCCUCUAAGCAUCAGGUAACAUCAAAUCGUACCCCAAACCGACACAGGUGGUCAGGUAGAGAAUACCAAGGCGCUUGAGAGAACUCGGGUGAAGGAACUAGGCAAAAUGGUGCCGUAACUUCGGGAGAAGGCACGCUGAUAUGUAGGUGAAGUCCCUCGCGGAUGGAGCUGAAAUCAGUCGAAGAUACCAGCUGGCUGCAACUGUUUAUUAAAAACACAGCACUGUGCAAACACGAAAGUGGACGUAUACGGUGUGACGCCUGCCCGGUGCCGGAAGGUUAAUUGAUGGGGUUAGCGCAAGCGAAGCUCUUGAUCGAAGCCCCGGUAAACGGCGGCCGUAACUAUAACGGUCCUAAGGUAGCGAAAUUCCUUGUCGGGUAAGUUCCGACCUGCACGAAUGGCGUAAUGAUGGCCAGGCUGUCUCCACCCGAGACUCAGUGAAAUUGAACUCGCUGUGAAGAUGCAGUGUACCCGCGGCAAGACGGAAAGACCCCGUGAACCUUUACUAUAGCUUGACACUGAACAUUGAGCCUUGAUGUGUAGGAUAGGUGGGAGGCUUAGAAGUGUGGACGCCAGUCUGCAUGGAGCCGACCUUGAAAUACCACCCUUUAAUGUUUGAUGUUCUAACGUGGACCCGUGAUCCGGGUUGCGGACAGUGUCUGGUGGGUAGUUUGACUGGGGCGGUCUCCUCCUAAAGAGUAACGGAGGAGCACGAAGGUUGGCUAAUCCUGGUCGGACAUCAGGAGGUUAGUGCAAUGGCAUAAGCCAGCUUGACUGCGAGCGUGACGGCGCGAGCAGGUGCGAAAGCAGGUCAUAGUGAUCCGGUGGUUCUGAAUGGAAGGGCCAUCGCUCAACGGAUAAAAGGUACUCCGGGGAUAACAGGCUGAUACCGCCCAAGAGUUCAUAUCGACGGCGGUGUUUGGCACCUCGAUGUCGGCUCAUCACAUCCUGGGGCUGAAGUAGGUCCCAAGGGUAUGGCUGUUCGCCAUUUAAAGUGGUACGCGAGCUGGGUUUAGAACGUCGUGAGACAGUUCGGUCCCUAUCUGCCGUGGGCGCUGGAGAACUGAGGGGGGCUGCUCCUAGUACGAGAGGACCGGAGUGGACGCAUCACUGGUGUUCGGGUUGUCAUGCCAAUGGCACUGCCCGGUAGCUAAAUGCGGAAGAGAUAAGUGCUGAAAGCAUCUAAGCACGAAACUUGCCCCGAGAUGAGUUCUCCCUGACCCUUUAAGGGUCCUGAAGGAACGUUGAAGACGACGACGUUGAUAGGCCGGGUGUGUAAGCGCAGCGAUGCGUUGAGCUAACCGGUACUAAUGAACCGUGAGGCUUAACCUU
This 2901-nucleotide ribosomal RNA is filed under the name Escherichia coli. RNAcentral's name for it is "23S ribosomal RNA". It matches the Rfam family "Bacterial large subunit ribosomal RNA". Lineage: Bacteria; Pseudomonadati; Pseudomonadota; Gammaproteobacteria; Enterobacterales; Enterobacteriaceae. The record is from RNAcentral.